This is an RNA transcript of Cryptotermes secundus, 3091 nucleotides long. RefSeq lists it as uncharacterized. The transcript is spliced from 3 exons. The record is from RefSeq and is a predicted model, not a curated record. Lineage: Eukaryota; Metazoa; Arthropoda; Insecta; Blattodea; Kalotermitidae.
CUUGGUGCUUGGUGAAAUCAUCGUUGGAUCAUCUGACUAAAAUAAUGCGAUUUGAUUCGUUACCAUUAUAGCCAAAGAUGGAUGAGCUUUUGGGGGCUAAAAAAAAAGACAAAAUUUUUGAAACUGCAACAGACUGGGAAAACUGAAGUUCCGUGCUGCCUACAAUGGCAUCAGCAAGAUUCAAAGCAUGUAGCAAUAUGCCACAGGAGUUUGAUGGCAUCCCAGGGAAAAAAGUGUGUACCCACCCAGUUGCAGCUGGAGUGAAGUCCGCCCCUCCCCCCCUGCAUACUGAUUGAAUGGAGUUCCUGUGUGGAUGCUCAGUUUGGAGUAAGUUGUUCGCCAAUUGGAAUAUAUUCGACUGUUGUCUUUAUCCUGGGUCCUGUGACCUUGUAAUGGAUUUGUGGCAUGUAAAUUAGUGGAAAUGGAAAAAAAAAAAAUGAAAAAUCCAGGAUUUGCAUUUUCAUUGGAUAAUGGACUUCAUGAAUUGGUUUUUCUUGCAUGAGCUGUAUAGUGCAAACACAAGUAGAUGGACUGUAAUUGAGAAGUAAGUAAUGUUUACACAUUUGUUGAUGUUAUCUUUCUGAAAUGGGAUGACACCACUGAAGAAGUUGUAUUCUGUAUGGUGGAGAACAUAAGUCAGUGUGAACCAAGCAUGGAGAAUCCAGGAAUUCUUUGCCUGCUGUUGGCAUGUCAUCUGCAAGGAGUAUGGCUUCUUACCAAGGAAGAAGCAUCUGAGAUCUCUUCCCCUUCGCACACUUACUGUGACCCAAACACGAGGCACAAUAUGACAGAGGAGUUUGAUGGCAUCAGUGAAGAAAUUUCUGUUCUGGCUAUGGAGGAAUGUCGGGUUUGGACUGAACAAGGAUGCCAGAAGUCGCCCUUCACCCUCUACAUGUACCAUGUACAAGAUAGCCACUGACAUGAAGCAGAGGAAGGACAAUCAGAAGAAGCUCCACUCUGUGUGUGACUGUGCACCAGACUGCGAGGAGUUCCUGCAGAGAAGGUGUGUGUCACCUAAAUCUAAUUGUGGGCCCUGUUGUCUGGAAAUUGACAGUCGAGGAAGGCACCUUUGUUCCCCUUAUUGGAGUGGAUCCACUACUUAGUGUUCAGGGUUUGAGGUGUCCCACAUUUGAAAUUCAGCUUCAAUGAUCACAAACUUGUAAUCUCAUUGUUAAGUUGCUUUUGUGUAGGAUUUUCCUCAGUCUUGUGUCCAAAUUCAGACCCCUAAAUGGGUGGGAUCACUGUUAUUGGACAGACAUUUAUUUGAAGUGAAUCAUUUUAAUGGUUUGCCAUGGCCACAGCACGAAUGCUGUUUAUGAAAAGCAGUUUGCAAUACUGGAAGACCUAACCAGUUGAGUAUAUAUAUUCCAAGUUAUUACCUCUCUCGCAGUGGGACACUGAAAUUUGUUACUGCUGCGUUUAAUUUUAUACGUGUUACUCCAAUUUUAGAAUUCAAUAUCACAACCAUGCAUCGUCAUAAAAUUAUGAGACAAAAAGGUUCUGACGGAUCAGUUAUCAAAGUUCAUAUAUGUUUACCAUAUUUUCAUUUAUAUAGCCAUUACAGUACACUUUAUAUAUAUAUAAACAAUAUAUAUUGUUUAGUAAAACUCUGUAUUUUUGGCUUUAUCCUCAAAAGGUACGCCACUGACAUGCAUUUCAGUUCCCAAUACAUGAUCACAAAAGUAUGUCUGACUCAUGCACAUUGACUGUAUGCAGUGGGGCUGGUGUCUAGAAAUGAAACACCAUUCAUAGAAUCCGAGUGACAAAACUACCUCCAGCCUACACACACACUUACACGUUUGUUUACUGUGGCACUUCACUGUGACCUACUGUAGCUCUGACUGCCUAAGUGACAACAGACGUUUCUGAUUGCUGUGUGAUCUGAAUUUGCACUUCCUUCUCAAGUUCAGUCUACUGUGGGUGAAUGAACCAUGCAACAAAAUGUAUUUGUUCUUCCAAACAUCAACUGGAGAAACAUUAUCUUGUACAGACUAAAACCAUCAUACCUUGGGACACUUUUUUGCAAAUCCAGUGGCACAUAACUUUGAAGGUGUUUGUAAUUAUGGCUUAGUUUUCAGUACCAGCCCAUAGUAAACUCUCUGAUUACUAAAAUCUUACCUUCAGACACUUCUUAGCCAUGUGUUGAACCUUGAUGGAAAUGGUGCAACACACAGGGUCCCCUUAGAGUCUUCGCAGUUGUAUCAUGUUUCACUCCAUUGGCCGUUUUUGUAGCAUACAGCACAGUGCCAGCACGGAUUUUGCUUUGCACUGUGGCAGCAGUGUAGGAGGGAUAAUGAGGAACGUUAAUCUUUUUGGUGGUCUGCCUAUUGGUCUGUUUUCUGUUAUAUGAUAUUUUGAAAUUAAAGUUUUUAUAAGUUUCACUUGAAAUUACCUCCUGGAAAUGCUGGUGUCUUUUUUCUUGUGUAAAGUGAAUAUGAAUUCAAAGAGCAGAUAUCAAUCAAAUGGCAGAAGUGCUUUUGAUAGUAUUUUCUUAGUGUUUUCCUUGUGCGGUGAUAGCUUGUCAAGUAAGCAUCACUGCGGUCCACACCUUCCAUCCUGGAAUCAUAAUCAGUGAAUAGUUUGGGCUCCUCCAUGUCUUACCCUUGAACCCCACUUGGAACCAUUUUGUCAUCAUGAAUGGUACUAAUAAGAGAAAUACCGUUUUUGUGUUUCCGCUUCAUUAUCAUUAGCCUGUCUGUGUAGACUGACACAUUCUCCCUUUUCCAGUUUUGUGCUCUUUAUUUCAGCAGGGACACUUCCUGUUUUGAUGCAAGGUUCCCCUAGCAUCACUCUGUCUGCUGCACAGCUUAUAGAACACAUCUGGGCCUCAAAACUAGCUGUCCAUGAUUACGGGUGUCCCUGAUUCAGUAGAGGAGCCAUUAGUUGUAGAACUCCUUCUGAGUUGAACCGUUAUUUACCCGGACUGUAACCAGUCCGAAAUUUCAGGAGAGGGAAAGGGGGAGGAGUUCAUUCACUUGUUGUUGUUGGAAAUACACGCACAAUUCGAGAGCAAUGCUGACUGAGUUUAACAAUACAAUAAUAUAGUAACGAAAUAAAUAUACAUUAACAAUAAUAAAGGAAAUAAAACAUA